Molecule: ribosomal RNA, 565 nt
Filed under: Fusarium oxysporum
Lineage: Eukaryota; Fungi; Ascomycota; Sordariomycetes; Hypocreales; Nectriaceae
Description: eukaryotic LSU rRNA
Rfam family: 5.8S ribosomal RNA (bases 185-338)
Source: RNAcentral
UCCUCCGUAGGGGGACCUGCGGAGGGAUCAUUACCGAGUUUACAACUCCCAAACCCCUGUGACAUACCUUUAAUGUUGCCUCGGCGGAUCAGCCCGCGCCCCGUAAAACGGGACGGCCCGCCAGAGGACCCAAACUCUAAUGUUUCUUAUUGUAACUUCUGAGUAAAACAAACAAAUAAAUCAAAACUUUCAACAACGGAUCUCUUGGUUCUGGCAUCGAUGAAGAACGCAGCAAAAUGCGAUAAGUAAUGUGAAUUGCAGAAUUCAGUGAAUCAUCGAAUCUUUGAACGCACAUUGCGCCCGCUGGUAUUCCGGCGGGCAUGCCUGUUCGAGCGUCAUUUCAACCCUCAAGCCCCCGGGUUUGGUGUUGGGGAUCGGCUCUGCCUCACGGCGGUGCCGCCCCCGAAAUACAUUGGCGGUCUCGCUGCAGCCUCCAUUGCGUAGUAGCUAACACCUCGCAACUGGAACGCGGCGCGGCCAUGCCGUAAAACCCCAACUUCUGAAUGUUGACCUCGGAUCAGGUAGGAAUACCCGCUGAACUUAAGCAUAUCAAUAAACCGGAGGA